CCUACGGGUGGCAGCAGUGGGGGAUAUUGCACAAUGGGGGGAACCCUGAUGCAGCGACGCCGCGUGGGUGAAGAAGCGCCUCGGCGCGUAAAGCCCUGUCAGCAGGGAAGAAAAUGACGGUACCUGAAGAAGAAGCCCCGGCUAACUACGUGCCAGCCGCCGCGGUACUACGUAGGGGGCAAGCGUUAUCCGGAUUUACUGGGUGUAAAGGGGGCGCAGACGGCGAUGCAAGCCAGGAGGGAAAGCCCGGGGCCCAACCCCGGGACUGCUCUUGGAACUGCGUGGCGUGAGUGCAGGAGGGGCAGGCGGAAUUCCUGGUGUAGCGGUGAAAUGCGUAGAUAUCAGGAGGAACACCGGUGGCGAAGGCGGACUGCUGGACUGCAACUGACGUUGAGGCCCGAAAGCGUGGGGAGCAAACAGGAUUAGAUACCCGUGUAGUC
This 440-nucleotide ribosomal RNA is filed under the name uncultured bacterium. Its description in RNAcentral is "partial 16S ribosomal RNA". It matches the Rfam family "Bacterial small subunit ribosomal RNA", at positions 338 to 795 of the family's 1533-position model. The record is from RNAcentral.